UCCUACGGGAGGCAGCAGUAGGGAAUAUUGGACAAUGGGGGCAACCCUGAUCCAGCAAUGCCGCGUGGGUGAUGAAGGCCUUAGGGUUGUAAAGCUCUUUUACCCGGGAUGAUAAUGACAGUACCGGGAGAAUAAGCUCCGGCUAACUCCGUGCCAGCAGCCGCGGUAAUA
This 171-nucleotide ribosomal RNA is filed under the name uncultured Sphingomonas sp. RNAcentral's name for it is "partial 16S ribosomal RNA". It matches the Rfam family "Bacterial small subunit ribosomal RNA", at positions 337 to 525 of the family's 1533-position model. Lineage: Bacteria; Pseudomonadati; Pseudomonadota; Alphaproteobacteria; Sphingomonadales; Sphingomonadaceae. The record is from RNAcentral.